UACAGAGGGGGGCAAGCGUUGUUCGGAAUUACUGGGCGUAAAGGGCGCGUAGGCGGCCUGUUAAGUCGGACGUGAAAUCCCCGGGCUCAACCCGGGAACUGCGUCCGAUACUGGCAGGCUUGAAUCCGGGAGAGGGAUGUGGAAUUCCAGGUGUAGCGGUGAAAUGCGUAGAUAUCUGGAGGAACACCGGUGGCGAAGGCGGCAUCCUGGACCGGCAUUGACGCUGAGGCGCGAAAGCCAGGGGAGCAAAGCGGG
This 255-nucleotide ribosomal RNA is filed under the name uncultured bacterium. RNAcentral's name for it is "partial 16S ribosomal RNA". It matches the Rfam family "Bacterial small subunit ribosomal RNA", at positions 524 to 777 of the family's 1533-position model. The record is from RNAcentral.